This 643-nucleotide ribosomal RNA is filed under the name Orinocodoras eigenmanni. Its description in RNAcentral is "eukaryotic LSU rRNA". It matches the Rfam family "Eukaryotic large subunit ribosomal RNA", at positions 61 to 673 of the family's 3401-position model. Lineage: Eukaryota; Metazoa; Chordata; Actinopteri; Siluriformes; Doradidae. The record is from RNAcentral.
GAAACCAACCAGGAAUUCCCUCAGUAGCGGUGAGUGAAGAGGGAAGAGCCCAGCGCCGAAUCCCCCGUCCCCUCGCGGGCGCGGGGAAAUGUGGCGUACGGAAGUCCGCAUCGCCCGGCGCGGGCCUGAGGCCUUAUUAUUUAUGAUGAACGCUUAGACAGUGUACGGUCUGAGGCCGGCAACGCCCCNCUGNNGCGCGNNCUUCUUGCAUUUGGGAUGUUUGGAAAUGCAUCCCAAAUCGGCAGGUAAACUCCAUCUAAGGUUAAAUACUGGCACUAGAUCGAUAGCGAACAAGUACCAUAACAGAAAGUUGAAAAUAACUUUGAAGAGAGAGUUCAACAUGGUUUGAAACCAUUAAGAGGUAAACGGUUGGCGUCCGCCCAGGGGAUUCAACCUUGAAGUAACCGCCCAUUUCCUCCACGGCGGUGUGCCCCUACCGGUAUCUGGUUAAAGUUGGAAGGGUCUGUGAACGAAGGUGGCUCAUGGCUCCGGCCCCGAGCCUUUCCGCCUCCGACGCAGCUGUCGACCGGGCCGGACUGCCCUCAGACGUGGCAUGGCGCGGCCCACGACACCAAAAGGGCGCUCUGGGUCCACGGCGAUGCCGGCCACCCAACCGACCCGUCUUGAAACACGGACCAAGGAG